Molecule: ribosomal RNA, 118 nt
Filed under: Prolemur simus (greater bamboo lemur)
Lineage: Eukaryota; Metazoa; Chordata; Mammalia; Primates; Lemuridae
Source: RNAcentral
GUCUGCAGUCACACCACCCUGAACGCGCCGGAUCUCAUCUGAUCUUGGAGGCUCAGCAGGUCGGUCCUGGUUGGUACUGGGAUGGGAGACCGCCCGGGAAUACUGGAUACUGCCGGCU